GGGCACGUAGCUCAGCGGAUAGAGCGUUCGCCUCCGGAGCGAAAGGUCGUGGGUUCGAUCCCCGCCGUGCCCG
RNAcentral lists this transfer RNA (73 nucleotides) under Gloeobacter morelensis MG652769. RNAcentral describes it as "tRNA-Arg". It matches the Rfam family "tRNA". From Rfam's summary of the family: Transfer RNA (tRNA) molecules are approximately 80 nucleotides in length. Their secondary structure includes four short double-helical elements and three loops (D, anti-codon, and T loops). Further hydrogen bonds mediate the characteristic L-shaped molecular structure. tRNAs have two regions of fundamental functional importance: the anti-codon, which is responsible for specific mRNA codon recognition, and the 3' end, to which the tRNAs corresponding amino acid is attached (by aminoacyl-tRNA synthetases). tRNAs cope with the degeneracy of the genetic code in two manners: having more than one tRNA (with a specific anti-codon) for a particular amino acid; and 'wobble' base-pairing, i.e. permitting non-standard base-pairing at the 3rd anti-codon position. RNAcentral also lists the same sequence under 1 other name. The record is from RNAcentral. Lineage: Bacteria; Bacillati; Cyanobacteriota; Cyanophyceae; Gloeobacterales; Gloeobacteraceae.